CUGAGCCUUAACCCAGUUUC
This 20-nucleotide small nuclear RNA is filed under the name Arabidopsis thaliana (thale cress). RNAcentral describes it as "snRNA_10523". Lineage: Eukaryota; Viridiplantae; Streptophyta; Magnoliopsida; Brassicales; Brassicaceae. The record is from RNAcentral.